UUGAACGCUGGCGGCAUGCCCUACACAUGCAAGUCGAACGGCAGCACGGGUGCUUGCACCUGGUGGCGAGUGGCGAACGGGUGAGUAAUACAUCGGAACAUGUCCUGUAGUGGGGGAUAGCCCGGCGAAAGCCGGAUUAAUACCGCAUACGAUCUACGGAUGAAAGCGGGGGACCUUCGGGCCUCGCGCUAUAGGGUUGGCCGAUAGCUGAUUAGCUAGUUGGUGGGGUAAAGGCCUACCAAGGCGACGAUCAGUAGCUGGUCUGAGAGGACGACCAGCCACACUGGGACUGAGACACGGCCCAGACUCCUACGGGAGGCAGCAGUGGGGAAUUUUGGACAAUGGGCGAAAGCCUGAUCCAGCAAUGCCGCGUGUGUGAAGAAGGCCUUCGGGUUGUAAAGCACUUUUGUCCGGAAAGAAAUCCUUGGCUCUAAUACAGUCGGGGGAUGACGGUACCGGAAGAAUAAGCACCGGCUAACUACGUG
Molecule: ribosomal RNA, 485 nt
Filed under: uncultured bacterium
Lineage: Bacteria
Description: partial 16S ribosomal RNA
Rfam family: Bacterial small subunit ribosomal RNA
Source: RNAcentral